RNAcentral lists this ribosomal RNA (484 nucleotides) under uncultured bacterium. RNAcentral's name for it is "partial 16S ribosomal RNA". It matches the Rfam family "Bacterial small subunit ribosomal RNA", at positions 30 to 507 of the family's 1533-position model. The record is from RNAcentral.
AUUGAACGCUGGCGGAAUGCUUUACACAUGCAAGUCGAGCGGCAGCGCGGCCUUCGGGCUGGCGGCGAGCGGCGAACGGGUGAGUAAUGCAUCGGAACAUGCCCAGUCGUGGGGGAUAACACUUCGAAAGAAGUGCUAAUACCGCAUACGUCCUGAGGGGGAAAGCGGGGGAUCGCAAGACCUCGCGCGAUUGGAGUGGCCGAUGUCAGAUUAGCUAGUUGGUGGGGUAAAGGCCUACCAAGGCGACGAUCUGUAGCUGGUCUGAGAGGAUGAUCAGCCACACUGGGACUGAGACACGGCCCAGACUCCUACGGGAGGCAGCAGUGGGGAAUUUUGGACAAUGGGGGCAACCCUGAUCCAGCCAUUCCGCGUGAGUGAAGAAGGCCUUCGGGUUGUAAAGCUCUUUCAGCAGGAACGAAACGGUGGGCUCUAACAUAGUCCGCUAAUGACGGUACCUGAAGAAGAAGCACCGGCUAACUACGUG